AACUGUCUCUUGCAGCCCACCCAUGAAACUGAUCUCUUAGUCCAAAAGCUAAGAUUUUACCACAAGACGAGAAGACCCUGUGGAGCUUAUAGACCAAGCCCAUAACAAUGCCCUCUUGGUUUUUAGUUGGGGCGACUUCGGAGCAUAAAAAAACCUCCGACAUGAUAUUUAGCCAGACUUAGAUGGACACAUCAAAAAUAAAGACCCAGUAGUUCUAAAAACUAGCUGAUCAAUGAACCAAGUUACCCCAGGGAUAACAGCGCUAUCCUCUCUUAGAGUUCCUAUCGACGAGGGGGCUUACGACCUCGAUGUUGGAUCAGGACUCCCUAAUAGUGCAACAGCUAUUGACGGUUCGUUUGUUCAACGAUUAA
RNAcentral lists this ribosomal RNA (371 nucleotides) under Acanthodactylus grandis (giant fringe-fingered lizard). Its description in RNAcentral is "partial 16S ribosomal RNA". It matches the Rfam family "Bacterial large subunit ribosomal RNA", at positions 2014 to 2591 of the family's 2925-position model. Lineage: Eukaryota; Metazoa; Chordata; Lepidosauria; Squamata; Lacertidae. The record is from RNAcentral.